CAGUCUUUUAUUUUCUUCUAUCACUAAGCUCAACAUGUCAAUGCUUCUCCGACGGCAGCGGCAUCAUGCGAGGCGUUCACAGUGUUCAUGAUCAAUGGCGGGAUCGCGGGAAGGAAUGGAGGGGUUUUAUUUAACCUACAAAAUCCUCCCAUAUUUUCCCAUCCAGCUAGCAGAGGCAAGAGCUACAGGGGAAGUAGGAGCACCGGGAGCAGAGGCAACAAACCAAGCUUUUAUUCAGAACCUCAAGAUUUUGAAGCAUCCGUUGAUUCAGAACCUCCAACUGAUGUCAUUUCGUGUACUGGUUUUCCAGCUCCAGAUCGAGGGGUUUAGAGAUCUUCAACAGUUUUCGAUGCCAUAGCCGGCCCAAGGGUUGAAUCAGAAGGGAACAACACCAUUAGUAGAGAGAAAGCAAAUAUAAGGAAAGCAAAUUGAACAAAUCAAGCACUUUGCAAAGAAAGGUUAUUCUACCUUGGCAAUUCUAUUAGGGCUAUUUUCUUGGUUUCUAUACGAAAUGGCAGACCAGGGAAAUAGCACAUCAUCAUCAUCUGAAUAUUUAGAUGAACGACCAGCAAGACCCACUCUAGGGACAGAUGAAUACUUCAACGAAAUGGUGUAUUGCAUUUGCAAUAGGUGCCAAAAUAGGAAACUAAAGAAGCGAUGACUUGUUGGUAUCCAUAGAUUGAACUAUGGGGUUUAUAUAGAAGAGGUACACUAUAAUUAACAAAUUAUUAUUUUUUAAAUAAAUAAAGGUGCACAUUAUUCAAUACAUUAUUAUUGACCAUUUCAAUUGGUUUUCUGAUAAAAAGCCGCUUCCAGUUCACAAUAUUUCUGAAGAACCAACAGAUGUCACCGAUGAUAGCCACUCUCAAGAUGAAGAAGAAGACACAGUUAUGGAUGAAGACACUUCAGAGAUAAAUGAGGCUGGUGUCAAUGAAUUCAUCCAAGACUUCUACACAUCUUUUGAAGAAGUUAUUGAUUCCCCCCUAGCUCAGUUGGCUACGACACCUGUUUUCCCAAAUGCAGAUACUUCUAUAUUGGCAGCACUUAUGUUGUUGUUGAAUUUGAAGGUUACACAUGGACUGACAAAUACAUGCUUUACUGAUAUAUUAAGUCAGAAUUCUCCCACCAACAACCGAACAAGUUUCCUUGAGGAGUCUCAUAGAUUCACAAUCAAGAAUACUAAGGCUCCUACCAGAUACUCCUGAAAAUGUUCCAACCAGACAAGAAAUACUUGUACAAAUUCAGUUAUGGGAAAGGGCAUUGUUGGAGAGUGCAGGGCCUACCUCAGAUGAACAGGAAAUAAAUGGCAAAGUGAUUGAUGCACCUAUAGGAGCAUCUACCUCAACCCCUAAGACUACAACAAUAUCCUUAGUGACUACAAAAGGAACGCAAGAAGUUACAAUCUUGCUCACCUCAGAAGGAAAUGUCUUGAAGGAUGAAGUGGGGUUAAAAUUUUUUCACUUUAUUUUUCGUCGUGCAGAACAAUUAUUUGGAAAUACCAUUCAAAUGGAUUGGAGGAAGCAAUCCAAUGCUAAGAAAGAGGAACUCUUUAAAGAUGUCAUAACAACAUUUGGAAAUCCAGGUUUUAAUAAAGAUAUCAUUCUUGAUAUUGCACGGAUACAUGCACUCUAAACGAGAUAAUUUAAGGUCGAGUCUGACAAAAGACUUGAGAUAUCCACGUCCAGCUUGGAUUAUAGACCAAGUGACAUGGGAUGAACUUAUGAAAGAUGCCAAAUUUAAGAGGAAAUCCCACAAUAAUCCAAACUAUAGGCCAUCUACACGAGGAGGAUCUAGAAGACGCCUUCGAGAUACAACAAAAGCAACCCAAGCUAGGGUGUCAAGUAUUGGAUCCUAUUAAUUAGGAUCUGGUGGGUAUAAUAGCAUUCGUGGUGGUUUGGUUCACCAAUUUCAAAAGGAAGCUUCAGAGGAGGACCUAAAAUAUGCUUUAUUACAUGGUUCCCAAGGCCUACGACAACAUUUGGUAGAUCGAGGGGAGAUUUUAGUGAGUGGUCAUGAAUCUGAGGAAGCCCAACAAUCACACUCAUCAGGUAGUGAGCAUGAAGAGGAGGUAGAGGAUCAUGAUGAAUUGUUUGUUGCACACAAUGAUUCGAUUGUCAUUCCUGAAACUCGGCAGGAAACCAUCUUUGAAUUUCAACAAGCGAGAGACAACAAUAUGGAGGAGGGUGUUCAAUGUGAUGAACUAUCCACACCCACAAUCAGAAAGGUGCCUUGUAAAAAGAGGACACAAAGCAAGAGGAUGGAUAGAAACAAGUGAACAAAAGACAUGUUUGCUUCCUAUCAUUGUUCAGUUUUCAUUGCUAUUAUAAACCUAAUUUAUAUCAUCAUAUUUUUUUAAUUGAUACUUGUGAAUUUAUUUACUCUCAAGCUCUUCCUUAAGAACAUGUGGUGUUGGCUGUUUCUUAAAUAAUUAUCAAUUUUGAUUAGGAAAGUAGGUAAUUGUACUUGGUUUAGAGGUUGCUAAAUUCCAGUAGCCUCACACUAAUGAUACCACAUUGAUAAAUUAUAACUUU
Cryptomeria japonica (Japanese cedar) is the source of this 2531-nucleotide RNA transcript. RefSeq lists it as uncharacterized. The record is from RefSeq and is a predicted model, not a curated record. The transcript is spliced from 8 exons. Lineage: Eukaryota; Viridiplantae; Streptophyta; Pinopsida; Cupressales; Cupressaceae.